RNAcentral lists this ribosomal RNA (468 nucleotides) under uncultured bacterium. Its description in RNAcentral is "partial 16S ribosomal RNA". It matches the Rfam family "Bacterial small subunit ribosomal RNA", at positions 28 to 507 of the family's 1533-position model. The record is from RNAcentral.
GACGAACGCUGGCGGCGUGCUUAACACAUGCAAGUCGAACGGAAAGGCCCUGCUUUUGUGGGGUGCUCGAGUGGCGAACGGGUGAGUAACACGUGAGUAACCUGCCCUUGACUUUGGGAUAACUUCAGGAAACUGGGGCUAAUACCGGAUAGGAGCUCCUGCUGCAUGGUGGGGGUUGGAAAGUUUCGGCGGUUGGGGAUGGACUCGCGGCUGAUCAGCUUGUUGGUGGGGUAGUGGCUUACCAAGGCUUUGACGGGUAGCCGGCCUGAGAGGGGGACCGGCAACAUUGGGACUGAGAUACGGCCCAGACUCCUACGGUAGGCAGCAGUGGGGAAUAUUGCACAAUGGGCGGAAGCCGGAUGCAGCAACGCCGCGUGCGGGAUGACGGCCUUCGGGUAGUGAACCGCUUUCGCCUGUGACGAAGCGUGGGUGACGGUAAUGGGUAAAGAAGCACCGGCUAACUACGUG